RNAcentral lists this ribosomal RNA (483 nucleotides) under uncultured bacterium. RNAcentral describes it as "partial 16S ribosomal RNA". It matches the Rfam family "Bacterial small subunit ribosomal RNA", at positions 29 to 523 of the family's 1533-position model. The record is from RNAcentral.
AGUGAACGCUGGCGGCGUGCUUAACACAUGCAAGUCGAACGAGAACGGGUUAUAGCUUGCUAUAAUUGUCAGCUAAGUGGCGCACGGGUGAGUAAUGUAUAGGUAAUAUGCCUCUUACUAAGGGAUAACAAAUGGAAACGUUUGCUAAUACCUUAUACUCCUUAUUAACAGAAGUUAAUAAGGGAAAGAUUUAUUGGUAAGAGAUUAGCCUGUAUUGUAUCAGUUAGUUGGUGGGGUAAUGGCUUACCAAGACUAUGACACAUAACUGGUUUGAGAGGAUGAUCAGUCACACUGGAACUGAGACACGGUCCAGACUCCUACGGGAGGCAGCAGUGGGGAAUAUUGCACAUGGACGGAAGUCUGAUGCAGCAACGCCGCGUGGAGGAUGACACAUUUCGGUGCGUAAACUCCUUUUAUAUGAGAAGAUAAUGACGGUAUUAUAUGAAUAAGCACCGGCUAACUCCGUGCCAGCAGCCGCAGUAA